AAUGACUACGUGCGUGAUUAAGAUAAGCAGCAACGAUCAAACCUUGAUCCACAUUGAACGGCGAUAAGUGUUUUGAAACAAAAUGGGAAUACAAGAAUGUAUUGUAUGCAGGGCGGCGUGCGUAUACGAGCUGACUGGGUUUAAGUGAGGUUAGUUGGAACUUACUUCCACAAUAGGGCGUCGUUGUCGUGAUUUAAGCCAAGGAGAAGCCUGUAUUUUUACUCGGUAAUCCGACACCAGUUAUAGACGUUGAGGAUGCCAAGAUUUAAAAAAGAAAGCGUUACUAAGUGUGUACUGCUCUUAAAUGCGAACGGUACAUGGAAACCCACCCAUCAAACUAAAAAAGGUUACGUCUAAGUACUACGCAUGUUAAACACACACAACCAUGACAUACAUGUGCACUUUAAGUGUAAUGAAAAACAAACAAGGGUAAAGCCGGUUCGAUACUCAAACAAUGUUGACGAGAUGAAAAUACUACUAGUACCAUUAUUCGAAUCGGAAUACCUAAAGCGAUUCAGAAUACAUGAAGCGAGCUUAGUGGAUAGGGUUUUAAUUGCACACUUUAAUAAUAAGUGUUUAUUGAAAACAAUGACAUUACACGCGUUUUGCCUGAAGGAUACUGGUACAUGCAUGUUUCUUUGAUGUGACACAUUUUUGGCGACAUACUUUUAAACAUUUAACAUUUUUUCAUAAAAAACUUAAAGACCCAGUCUCCCUAUGAUGCAUGUGGAGCCACGGUGCGUGAUCCGGGAUCUACCGGGAUGAACCUUGGCUCCACCGGGGACGACCGGGAUGAACCGGGGACGACCGGGGAAAAUCGGGGCUCCACCGGGUGUGUGUUGCCAGUAAUGGUUGAAGAUAUGCCAAACAAAUUGUGCCUCUAUACAGACAGAUUUCAGGUCUCAAUUUCGACUUCAAAGGUCAACAUAUCACUGAUAUCAGGAAUUCUGUACAACUGUGGAACCAUGUAUGGUACGUGACCGCACAAUGUUGGUUGGCAAAAGGAUAUUGGAAUAAGCAAAGGGUCUCAACAUUACACAGUCAUUUCAACAUGUAGAGUCUUGUCAGCAAUGAUGAAGCAGUACAUCAGAUUUCCAGAAUCUCGUCAUGAGCUGAAGAUCAUUGCCUAUGGAUUUCAUCAAUGAUGUAGAAUGAUUGGACUGUUGAUGGAACCCACAGUGCAUGUCCUGCUUCAACAUCUGACACCUUGUUUAUCAGCAGUUUAGUUCUUCAAGCAGUCUGUGACAGUAACUUGAAAUGUUUGGACAUAUGCCCUGGAUGGCCAAGUUCUGUGCAUGAUGCCCAUUUAAAUAGGAACGGCCCAGUGGCGCAUUAAAUGGACAAUCUUUCGAAUGUUCUCGAGGAUUCAGCUUACCGCCUGACAAGAAAUCUUGCUUUUUGUGUCGUAUCGAGGCCAUGGACAUUUGUAUCAUUUGCAAAAGAUACUGCGAUAUUUGUGCCUUUGUUCAUGCUUUAUAGUUGAUUAACAAUUGGAAGCCAUAACCUGUUUUAUAGGAUGGUGUUAGUGGGACAAUGAAUUUUAUAAAGAUUUAAAGACUGGAAAAGAUAAUUAAAAGUCAAAAGAG
This is a long non-coding RNA of Dreissena polymorpha, 1586 nucleotides long. RefSeq lists it as uncharacterized. NCBI's taxonomy places the organism in Eukaryota, Metazoa, Mollusca, Bivalvia, Myida, Dreissenidae. The transcript has 5 exons. The record is from RefSeq and is a predicted model, not a curated record.